GAAUAAUUUAAGUAUUUAAAUAAAAUGUUGAAAAAUUUAAUUUCAAACUCACGGUCGACAGAUGGUUUUAAAUUUUUAUUAGCAUCACAUGGCAUGCAGCAACAAUUUGGGUAAAAUUUACCGAAUAGAUUAAGAAAUAGAAAAAGAUAUCUUUUCUUGUAAAACGACACAUUUUGUAUACAUCUGAUAUCUAUAUACAAAGUACAACAAAGAAUCUAAUACAAAGUUUCAAAUACGAUAGUAAAUAUUGAAGUACACAUAUACACACACGCGCGCGCGCGUGUAAAAAAUGUAUAUGAACAUAUAUAUGUCGGAGUGCCAUCGAGAGUGAGGUUGGGGGCGGC
Long non-coding RNA from Bombus huntii, 344 nucleotides. RefSeq lists it as uncharacterized. The transcript is spliced from 3 exons. The record is from RefSeq and is a predicted model, not a curated record. NCBI's taxonomy places the organism in Eukaryota, Metazoa, Arthropoda, Insecta, Hymenoptera, Apidae.